GUGCUUGCUUAGGCAGCACGUAUACUAAAGUUGAAGUGAUACAGGGAAGAUUAGCAUGGCCCCUCUGCAAGGAUGACACUCAAAUUCAUGAAGCAUUCCAUAUUUUG
Small nuclear RNA from Ochotona princeps (American pika), 107 nucleotides. Lineage: Eukaryota; Metazoa; Chordata; Mammalia; Lagomorpha; Ochotonidae. The record is from Ensembl.